Molecule: long non-coding RNA, 328 nt
Organism: Vitis vinifera (wine grape)
Lineage: Eukaryota; Viridiplantae; Streptophyta; Magnoliopsida; Vitales; Vitaceae
Exons: 2
Source: RefSeq, a predicted model, not a curated record
GAGGUUACUCAUCCCAAUAUCAAGAGGUGCGGGGUUCAGAUGAUGUACACCCGUGAUUCUCUAAACAGCAGUGUGCCUAUGUUGUUGGAUCAUCAAAGAGGCCAUGAUGAUGCCGGGAAAAACCAAGCAGAUGAUCGGGAACCAUGCCGUAAAAGAUUGAGAGCAUCCAGCACUGAUCUCAAGCUUUAAGCUCCAUUGCCAGGUGCUUGGUACAAGAACUAAAGAAUCAAUGUUGACUUAGCGGCACGAUGGCUGGAGCACCUUGCUGCCCUUCUACCACCAUGAGAACCACUGCACUGCCAUUCUUGAAGCCAAAUUUGCCACCAUU